UCCUGUAAAGGAAAGAGAGGCAAGC
Molecule: non-coding RNA, 25 nt
Filed under: Mus musculus (house mouse)
Lineage: Eukaryota; Metazoa; Chordata; Mammalia; Rodentia; Muridae
Source: RNAcentral